CGUCGAGUGGCGGACGGGUGAGUAAUGCUUGGGAAUCUGCCCUGUAGUGGGGGACAACCCGGGGAAACCCGGGCUAAUACCGCAUACGCCCCUUGGUUUAGUUACUAAGGGGGAAAGCGGGGGACCUUCGGGCCUCGCGCUAUUGGAUGAGCCCAAGUCGGAUUAGCUUGUUGGUGGGGUAACGGCCUACCAAGGCAACGAUCCGUAGCUGGUCUGAGAGGACGAUCAGCCACACUGGGACUGAGACACGGCCCAG
Molecule: ribosomal RNA, 256 nt
Filed under: uncultured bacterium
Lineage: Bacteria
Description: partial 16S ribosomal RNA
Rfam family: Bacterial small subunit ribosomal RNA
Source: RNAcentral